UACGAAGGGUGCAAGCGUUAAUCGGAAUUACUGGGCGUAAAGCAUGCGUAGGCGGUCUUUUAAGUCCGAUGUGAAAGCCCUGGGCUCAACCUGGGAAUGGCACUGGAUACUGGAAGGCUAGAGUACGGUAGAGGAGGGUGGAAUUCCAGGUGUAGCGGUGAAAUGCGUAGAUAUCUGGAGGAAUACCGGUGGCGAAGGCGGCAUCCUGGACCGGCAUUGACGCUGAAGCGCGAAAGCUAGGGGAGCAAACGGG
RNAcentral lists this ribosomal RNA (253 nucleotides) under uncultured bacterium. RNAcentral's name for it is "partial 16S ribosomal RNA". It matches the Rfam family "Bacterial small subunit ribosomal RNA", at positions 524 to 776 of the family's 1533-position model. The record is from RNAcentral.